CCAGCGCCGCCAAACGCAAACCGCCAAUCUAAUUUGAAUUUGAAAGAGCCAUCUUCGCCGCGCCGUUAAUUUGCACCGCACUUUUAUCGAGUGCUAGUGCGAUAAAGAAGGGUAAAGAAGGCCGUUUUAAUAAUAAUUCAACCACUGAAAUCACACGGACCAGAUUUGGACAAUGACUUGAAAGCUAAGACAUUCGCAGUAGGCUCUACAGGAGAGAGGGAGACCCAAAACCACCUGGAGUCAUACUGAGCCUCGAGGAGGAGAUGAAGUCAGUGAACAUGACCUGGGGUACCGGGCGGUAGUUUCCAGAAGAAGGCCCAGCUCAGAACCGCCAGGACUCAGGAGUGGAGAUCCGAAUACUUCGUUGCUGCCCUCCAUAUGAGGAGGCUGUAA
Molecule: long non-coding RNA, 393 nt
Organism: Lytechinus pictus (painted urchin)
Lineage: Eukaryota; Metazoa; Echinodermata; Echinoidea; Temnopleuroida; Toxopneustidae
Exons: 2
Source: RefSeq, a predicted model, not a curated record